CUUGUAUUUAGGUUUUACUUCUGAAUCAGUCAUCCGUUCUUUCUAGAGACGAUUUGAACUGGAACCCUUUAUCUCAAUUUGUCUUAUUGCUAAAAUGUGUUUGUUUGAAUAGAGUAUAGUUGUGGCCCAGAACACUCCUGAUUCAGAGUUUGUUUUUGCAAACCUGAAAGGUGGACUCCAGCCCAUUCCUACCUUCGUAGGAGUUAAUCUUGCUGCCAUAUGUUUCUGUAAAUUUAAAGUGUCUGAUCAAAUAAGCAGGAAGAUCAGCUAAUAAUAGUGUAUGUAUUUGACAGAUAUGUAGUGAGUUUUGUUUUAAAAUAUCCCAUAAGAAUCCUGCAAACUACUUCAUAUGUAGGAGUAAUUUCACUUAUCCCCAGGUGGGAGCCAGCAGCAGUUCAGCCAUGUGGAGCCACACAACAGAACCACCGUGGGAAAGAAAUGAAGAGGGUUUCUAGAGAUGAUUGAAACUGCGAGGGAGGUUGGACAAGCAGAAGUGUGCCUCUCUUCUGUGGGAAUAGAGAAGAAACUAAUUCCAAGAGACCAUAUAGGCACAUUUGGCUCCAUCACACUAGCUGGAUUGAAAUGAUAUUUCCUGAGCACUGACCUCUUCGACACUUAUGUGGACUCAGCAUCUCUAAUUGCUGUUAGUGUGAAUCAUCGAAAGCUGGUGCAUAAUUUCUCCAGACAUUUAUAGGAGAUCUACAGUAGACAUUUACUCUAAAUAACAAAAAUAAAGAAAUCCAUAAAUCCCA
This 752-nucleotide long non-coding RNA is filed under the name Anas platyrhynchos platyrhynchos (common mallard). RNAcentral describes it as "lncRNA (ENSAPLG00000018071.1)". The record is from RNAcentral. Lineage: Eukaryota; Metazoa; Chordata; Aves; Anseriformes; Anatidae.